UUGGCCUCCUCGUCGUCGUCGGUGGAGAGGUUGAUGCAGGAGUAGCGCUCAAGGGAGGUGAAGAAGGUGGAGGCGACGCUGGUGCCAACCUAGGUGGCUUAGCUCUUCAUGGCCACCGGCGAUCUGCUUGCUAGGGUUCGGCCGCGGUAGGGAGGAGACCAGAGAAGAAGGGGAGGAGGGGGACUCGGUUUAGUUGGUUCGACUCCGCCCGCCCGCUGGCGGCGAGCGCUGCCCGCCCGCCGCCGGCCCGGCCUCCGCCUCCCCUGCGCACCGCUGCCCGUGCCCGUUGCCCAUCCCGCUCCGCUGGCCGUAUUGUGUACUGUUCAUUUUCUCGGCUAUAACUGGAACUGAACCGAAAGUACCGCAACCAAAUUUACUCUGUUCUCAUUUCUGAAAAGAACUGAUCGGUUCCUGUUCAGUUAGAGCAGCUAGUGUUCAAAUCAGCUUUCCGUGUGGUUGCAGGCUUCUUACACCGGAGAUAAUUUUUUAGUUUCAAGUCAGCCACUAGAUGUCAUUGAAAUCCGACAGAUACUCGUAUACUGAGUAGCUUCCUUUUUCAAUCGAUUUUUUUCAUCUUGUCCUGCACCACAUUAUUUGGACUGAUUUUGCUGCGCCAACGACCGUUUCCUGACCCCUACGCCCUUGGUGGUGACAGCGAGCGGAGCGGAUGGUGCCGGACCGGGAGCCAGCAAGAGUAGUACUACAAACUCCGUGCCAGAACAAUUCAAAUUCAAUCCACAGAAUUAAUAGUGUCCGUGAUAAAUCUCUUUGUAAAACAUAUUUUUGGAAUGUACUCCCUCGGUCCAUUUAUUGGAAUCGUUUUAGCUAUGUGCGCAGUGACCAAGGGGGGCUGGUGGAACCCGUUUUGCCAUUAAAUCGGUGCUUUUCUUUAACUCCGCAUGCGUCUGUUGAGUUACCG
This 919-nucleotide long non-coding RNA is filed under the name Setaria italica (foxtail millet). RNAcentral describes it as "long non-coding RNA (SITA_LNC006238)". Lineage: Eukaryota; Viridiplantae; Streptophyta; Magnoliopsida; Poales; Poaceae. The record is from RNAcentral.